RNAcentral lists this long non-coding RNA (1289 nucleotides) under Equus asinus (donkey). Its description in RNAcentral is "lncRNA (ENSEASG00005033501.1)". The record is from RNAcentral. Lineage: Eukaryota; Metazoa; Chordata; Mammalia; Perissodactyla; Equidae.
CUUCAAACUAUGAACUGUCGGAAACACAUUUCUCUGAUCACGUUGAAUUUGGGGCAUGUCUAACUGAUCUUAAGCUAGAAAAGAUGAGUACACACCUUUCCACUCGGAAGUGCCAGAUGCUUGUGGAGCCCGUCACAGGGAUGUGCGCUACAGUGGGCGCCUUCUGGAGAGGAAACAGCAGGUGAAUCUGCUUGGCACCAGGAUAUCAAUUAUGUGUGUUAAAAUUCAAGCACGGUCAGUCAGAUGGCUCUUGGGCUCUGGAAUGCAGCUUGCAGUCGAUCAUCGCUGUACAGAAGCUGUCACACGCGUCCCAGUCUGCUGUCGAUGCGUCAGUCCUAGGAACGAAUCUGUACUUUUAUGGCUCGAUUCCUAAGAUUGGUCCCUGGCCCAGUGGUCCAAGAUAGCUUCCAAAACCAAAGUGCCUUGUGCUGCUCCCCAUCCCUGCCACCAGCACGGACGCGCAGCACUCAGCAGCCAGGCCGGCCUCCAUGCCCUCACUCAGAAGCCACAGAAGGAGGCGGAAGUCGGCUCAGCUCCCCUGGUACAAUUUUCCUUUGCUUUUACUUCCUGCUGUGAGCUUUCUUACAUGUUUGGAGUUGGCGAGUGCGUGCUGCUGCGUGGGGACGGGUCUGAGGGAAGCCGAGAGGAGGCAGGCAAUCCAGGGAGUGGAGUCGCGCUCAGCUCUGGGCCCCUGUGGCGAGCUUGCUGGCUGGUGCUGUAGCCUAGCCAAAGGAAACAGGCAGCGCGCCCAGGGGUGCCCUCACUACCAGGGGAUGGCAGGGCCCAGGUCACUUGGGAGGCAUUGCCUCCGCUUUUCUACUCUGUGAGCAGGUUUCCAAAGUUAACGUGCCAUCAGAGUUGGAAGCCUUGGACCGAGAGGUCCGCCCACUGCCUCUGCCCACACCACCCCCAGACCCCAUCUCAGCGUGGGGACAGUCGGCCCAGCGCAUCCGCCCCAGACGUCCUCCUGGGCUGUGAUAGGAGGGCUCAGUGCAGAAGGGUGGGCACCAGGCACUCGGCAGGUGCUCAGCAAUGUGGAAUGAGUGAAUCUGGGUGGCAGUGGAGGAGGUGGGAGACUCCAGCCCCACUUCCCUCUGGAGUUCUGUGGCCAAAACUCAGGUGCUUCAGAAGCCAUUUACUAGUGUCGCCCGGAAAGGCUGAAAUGGCCUUGCUGCCUUUCUUCACAAUCUUUCCAAUCUGGAAGGGGCAGAGACCCUGCCAGGGCUCUGGCAGCAGGCCAGGGUGGCCUCCUGUGCCCUCUAAGCCCUGGCCAGCACCUGCCCGUUGCU